GCAUGUGUGGACUCCGCGUUCAUCUCUUCCUGCUUCCCGCCAUGUGCUCAUGCAGCAAUAAGGCGCCAUCUUGGAAGUAGUGAAUGAGUCUUCAACACACACCAGAUCUGCCAGUGCUUGGAUCUUGGACUUUCCGGUCUUCAGAAUUCUGACACAUGGAUAUCUGUUGUUUACAAAUUAUUCAGUCUUCAGUAUUUUGUUAUAACAGCAGGAAUAGGCUAAGGCAGAAGAUAUUUUGUUGCAGAUGCCUCUUAGAAACGAAGAAGCAAUUUUCAAAUCGGAUUUUCUUAACAACAAGCAAGUCCAGGCAGAGGGCUUCCCUGUGAAAUAGAGAA
RNAcentral lists this long non-coding RNA (335 nucleotides) under Chinchilla lanigera (long-tailed chinchilla). RNAcentral describes it as "lncRNA (ENSCLAG00000025812.1)". Lineage: Eukaryota; Metazoa; Chordata; Mammalia; Rodentia; Chinchillidae. The record is from RNAcentral.